RNAcentral lists this ribosomal RNA (450 nucleotides) under uncultured bacterium. Its description in RNAcentral is "bacterial SSU rRNA". It matches the Rfam family "Bacterial small subunit ribosomal RNA", at positions 29 to 524 of the family's 1533-position model. The record is from RNAcentral.
AACGAACGCUGGCGGCAUGCCUAACACAUGCAAGUCGAACGAAGCCUUCGGGCUUAGUGGCGCACGGGUGCGUAACGCGUGGGAAUCUGCCCUUGGGUUCGGGAUAACAGUUAGAAAUGACUGCUAAUACCGAAUGAUGUCUUCGGACCAAAGAUUUAUCGCCCAAGGAUGAGCCCGCGUCGGAUUAGCUAGUUGGUGAGGUAAAGGCUCACCAAGGCGACGAUCCGUAGCUGGUCUGAGAGGAUGAUCAGCCACACUGGGACUGAGACACGGCCCAGACUCCUACGGGAGGCAGCAGUGGGGAAUAUUGGACAAUGGGCGAAAGCCUGAUCCAGCAAUGCCGCGUGAGUGAUGAAGGCCUUAGGGUUGUAAAGCUCUUUUACCCGGGAUGAUAAUGACAGUACCGGGAGAAUAAGCCCCGGCUAACUCCGUGCCAGCAGCCGCGGUAAU